Molecule: long non-coding RNA, 426 nt
Organism: Danaus plexippus (monarch butterfly)
Lineage: Eukaryota; Metazoa; Arthropoda; Insecta; Lepidoptera; Nymphalidae
Exons: 2
Source: RefSeq, a predicted model, not a curated record
UUAAAGAUCAGUGGCACACUUUCGGCAGACUGAAGGUUGGUAUUCGCGAAAUUUUCAAGAAUUGGCGCAUGGACAUAACUAACAUUACAAAUUUGCUCAAGCAAACCAGGAUAUUCAGACCCCCGUGUAUACAAAUAUCCAAAUACGACGGUUCAACGAAAGCGCCUCGGGUGACGACUUACACUAAGAGAACGGUUGUGACUCGCUGUGAAGACGAGGACGACGACUGCUAGGAACGUCUUUUGUAUUACAAACCAGUAUGACUAUUCUGAGUUUGAAUCACACUACAGACGGAGCGUUAAUAGUUUUUUAUUCUUAAAUCAUCUCACAUAUUAAAGAAACGGCAGACGCUUCGUAUGUAGUAAAACUUAUACUAAGCUUACAGAUUCAUUGAAAUAAAUGGUAAUAUUGUUAACAAAUUAAGAA